AUUCAGCUUGGACUUACUUUGAGAUGGACGCUACCAACAAUUUCAAUGAGGAUGGAUAAGGGUGUUCAUGGACAUAGUAUAAAGCCAUAGAUAUUAGAAUUGUGGGAUGGAUGGAUACAGUUGUUGGAAACUCAAUUGAAACAAAGCAAGCCAUAAUGAAUAGGCCUACAGAUGAUCAUGCAAUGUUGAACAUGUUUUCUUUGUUGCUGUAAGUAUAUGUAUGAAAAGUGUAUAAUGUAGUUGACUACCUGUCAUAAUUGGUGUGUGUGUGUGUGUGUGUGUGUGUGUGUGUGUGUGUGUGUGUGUGUGUGUGUGUGUGUGUGUGUGUGUGUGUGUGUCUGCGUGCCUGCCUGCAUACGUGUGUGACUUUCCUAGGUUGGGGGAUGACUUGCGUGCGUUUGUGUUGCUGACUCUCCAAGAAGAUAUACAGCAACAAAUACUACAGGCAGACAGUGGCCAUCCGCAUGCCGGUCAAGUGGGUGGCCAUAGAGAGCCUAUUAGAGUCCAUCUUUAACAGCAAUAGUGCCGUGUGGUCAUUUGGGGUCACCAUGUGGGAGAUAGUGUCUAGGGAAAGGACACCGUAUCCUGGAGUCCACAACUAUCAGCUCCUGAAGAUGCUGAACACUGGACACCGAUUCAAACCACCUUAGUGUGAUGAGAAACUUUAUCUCUCUCCCCCCAGGUAUGAGGUGAUACUGAGUUUUUGGCACAUGGAACUGGGACAGAGGCCUGGUUUCAGGGAGCUUGGGGAGAGGCUGAAAGCCCUUCUGUGUGAGCUGCCACCACUGGAGGCUAGCCAGGAGGCCCAAUACAUAAACCAGGGCCUGUAGGCUGCCAAUGGGGUGCCAACGAGCACGGAGGACACAGCAGCCUCGAUUUUCGAGGAGGGCACGGUAGGGAACAUGUGGGUUUGUGGUUACUGCUAAAACUCCACCCAAGAAAGAGGACGAGGACUCACCCAAGGAAGAGAAGGAGGAGGAAGGAUAUCUGCUGGGUAUUAAAAGUGGAUCCGCUGUGAAGACAAUGGAUAAUGAAAGAGCUGUGGGUGUUUUUAUAGAUGCUUUUUGUGACAGAUAAUCUGUUCUUUAAACCGUGCUCUGGUGUUUUUGUGUUUCAGUCAGUUUGGUGUUUUAUGUUCUGUCAACUACAGUAAUCCAAGCGUGUUUGAAUGUAUUUAUUCAAUGUGUUAGCUCUGUGGUUAGAGAUCAGUGCACAACUCAACAUAUCAAAUAUCAAUCAAUUCAAAUCACCUUAACACUUUUUUAUGGUUUAGUCUAAUCUUGAUUAUUGUCCAGCCGUUGUGGUCCAGUGCAGCAAGGAAAGACCUAGUUAAGCUGCAGCUAGCCCAGAACAGAGUGGCACAUUUUGCUCUUCAUUGUAAUCAGAGGGCUGAUAUAAAUACUAUGCAUGCCAGUCUCUCUUGGCUAAGUGUUUAGGAUUGACUGACUGCAUUACUUCUUCUUUUUAUAAGAAACAAUGUGUUGAAAAUCUGAAAUAGUUUUCAUAGUCAACUCACACACAGCUCUGACACACACACUUAUCCUACCAGACAUGCCACCAGGGGUCUUUUUACAGUCCUCAAAUCCAGAACAAAUUCAAGAAAGCGUACAGUAUUAUAUAGAGCCCUUAUUGCAUGGAACUUCCUUCCAUCUCAUAUUGCUCGAAUAAACAGCAACCCUGGUUUAAAAAACCCCCAGAUAAAGCAACACCUCAUGACACAACGCCUCUCCCCUGUUUGACCUAGAUAGUUUGUGUGUAU
Molecule: non-coding RNA, 1759 nt
Organism: Oncorhynchus mykiss (rainbow trout)
Lineage: Eukaryota; Metazoa; Chordata; Actinopteri; Salmoniformes; Salmonidae
Source: RefSeq, a predicted model, not a curated record